RNAcentral lists this ribosomal RNA (492 nucleotides) under uncultured bacterium. Its description in RNAcentral is "partial 16S ribosomal RNA". It matches the Rfam family "Bacterial small subunit ribosomal RNA", at positions 29 to 507 of the family's 1533-position model. The record is from RNAcentral.
AGUGAACGCUGGCGGUAGGCCUAACACAUGCAAGUCGAACGGCAGCACAGUAAGAGCUUGCUCUUACGGGUGGCGAGUGGCGGACGGGUGAGGAAUACAUCGGAAUCUACUUUUUCGUGGGGGAUAACGUAGGUAAACUUACGCUAAUACCGCAUACGACCUACGGGUGAAAGCAGGGGAUCUUCGGACCUUGCGCGAGUGAAUGAGCCGAUGCCGGAUUAGCUAGUUGGCGGGGUAAAGGCCCACCAAGGCGACGAUCCGUAGCUGGUCUGAGAGGAUGAUCAGCCACACUGGAACUGAGACACGGUCCAGACUCCUACGGGAGGCAGCAGUGGGGAAUAUUGGACAAUGGGCGCAAGCCUGAUCCAGCCAUACCGCGUGGGUGAAGAAGGCCUUCGGGUUGUAAAGCCCUUUUGUUGGGAAAGAAAAGCAGCAGGUUAAUACCCCGCUGUUCUGACGGUACCCAAAGAAUAAGCACCGGCUAACUUCGUG